UAUAAUGCCAUGUGUAGCACAAAUUUAUUAUUAUAGUAUGAGUCACAAAUUAUUUACUAAUUGUGCCAUAUACACAUACAUUGUGUCUACUAAAGUUAGCUACAUUUUGUAUGUUAGCAAGGGAGCUCUUAAGUGCUAAAUUAACUAGACACCAAAAUAAUUUAUCUUCAUUAUUAUGGCUAUGAUUGAUAGUUAAUUUAGUGGGUGUGGUCUUUGAAGUAAAAUGGCUGCUAUCAAAAUGGAAGUUUUAAGCAAAUAUUGUUGCAAACGGUCAGCUACAGCAGCAUGGAGUUUUUAGAUUAUUGAUCUGAAAGAAUAACUAAGAACUUAAAGCCUUUAAUUUUUCGCGAAUAACCUUUAUUUGGAGGUUCACGAAAUUAAUUUUUUGCGAAUUUCAACUAUUCUGCCAUCUUGUAUCAUAUGAAAUUAAUUUUCAAGGAAUUUUAAUUUUGCAAAUCUUAAUUUUUUUUUGAAAUUUGAGAAAAUUGCUAUCCACAAAAAACAGUAAAUGGUGAUUUAUUUUAACUACAUGUACAGUAUACCACAAAAAAAGGCUAAGUAGCUACUGCACAGUUACCUUUGUACUUCGUUGACGCUGCAAUUGAAUUGCGUUGACGGUUCGCUUACUGUACUCUGCACAUGUGCAGUGAGACAGUAGCGAAUUGGGAGGUGUGGUUCAAUUACCUUUUAAUUACGUAAGAGUACGGUGAGAGUACGGUAGUAACCGUAGUAACUAUUAGCAAAGAGCAGCUGGCUAGAGAGAGACUCGAGGAGACAUUGAAGGAGACAGUGCUAGCUAAAGCCCAAAGGAUCAGAGCCCAUCAUCAUAGUACGAGGCUUGUGGAGAGCGAUAGAGAAACAGGAAGAGUAAGAGUUACAGUACACCAUGAGUCUGAGGCAAGACCUUAAAUCUCUGCAGAUUAAAAAGCACCCGCCUUAUUAUCUUGUAUUCUUCAAAGAAGACCGCUCUUUGGGCGUUGCAAAAGCUAACAAUAUCAUUGAAUUGGAUAAGGAAGACUUGUUGGAGCCUGGAACAGAGUGCCACGUAAGAUCAAAAAAAAUGUAUUUGAUGGAAUUGUGGUGACUCAUGGGACUGAAAUUGAUGUGGAUACAGUUGGCGAGAAGAUCAUUAAUAAGCUUUAUACUCCUGAGUUUUUGAAAGGAUUAUUAAGUGAUGACUCGGAUUCUGAUGAUGUGACAACUGAUUGCACUUGUGCUAGCGACUCAGAUAUUGAUGCAAAGAGUAAGAGAAAUGCUAAAAGGAAAAGGACAGAUAGUGGUAAGCCAGCUAAGAAAAGUAUGAUGAAAA
Long non-coding RNA from Amphimedon queenslandica, 1309 nucleotides. RefSeq lists it as uncharacterized. The transcript is spliced from 4 exons. The record is from RefSeq and is a predicted model, not a curated record. NCBI's taxonomy places the organism in Eukaryota, Metazoa, Porifera, Demospongiae, Haplosclerida, Niphatidae.